GAUCCCGACAUCUCUCACUAUUGUAUCCCCCGAUAUGAUAUUAUCUUAUGGGUGGGGUAAGCGCUCCCCNAGCGCACACAUACUCUAUACUCUGGUGUGAGAAGANCACCAGCCACUCUGGGACUGACACACGGCCCACACUCCUACGGGAGGCAGCAGUGGGAAAUUUUGGACAGUGGGGGAAACCCUGAUCCACCUGUCCCGCGUGUAUAAUAAGGGCCUUCGGGUUGUAAAAUACUUUUGGCAGAGAAGAGAAGGUAUCUCCUAAUACUAGGUACUGCUGACGGCAUCUGCAGAAUAAGCACCGGCUAUCUACGUGCCACCACCCGCGGUAAUACGUGGGGUGCAAGCGUUUAUCAGAAUUUCUGGGUGUAGAGCAUGUGUGCGCGGUUUUGAAACAGAUAUGUGAUCUCCCAGGUCUCACCUCUUGAAAACUGUAUUUUUAUCUGCCGAUCUAGAGUAUGUCAGAGGGGGGUAGAAUUCCGUGUGUAGCAGUGAUGUGCAUAGAUAUGUGAGAAGAAUACCGAUGGAAAACGCACCCCCCUGACAAUAAUUGUGACUCUCGUACACAAAACGCGUGGGAGAGCACACGGAUAUUAAUAUACCCUGU
This 610-nucleotide ribosomal RNA is filed under the name Alcaligenes aquatilis. Its description in RNAcentral is "bacterial SSU rRNA". It matches the Rfam family "Bacterial small subunit ribosomal RNA", at positions 202 to 790 of the family's 1533-position model. Lineage: Bacteria; Pseudomonadati; Pseudomonadota; Betaproteobacteria; Burkholderiales; Alcaligenaceae. The record is from RNAcentral.